RNAcentral lists this ribosomal RNA (591 nucleotides) under Colletotrichum gloeosporioides. RNAcentral describes it as "eukaryotic LSU rRNA". The stretch from base 217 to 370 matches the Rfam family "5.8S ribosomal RNA". Lineage: Eukaryota; Fungi; Ascomycota; Sordariomycetes; Glomerellales; Glomerellaceae. The record is from RNAcentral.
GGAAAUUUUAACGAUCUCGUUGGUGACCAGCGGAGGGAUCAUUACUGAGUUUACGCUCUAUAACCCUUUGUGAACAUACCUAUAACUGUUGCUUCGGCGGGUAGGGUCUCCGCGACCCUCCCGGCCUCCCGCCUCCGGGCGGGUCGGCGCCCGCCGGAGGAUAACCAAACUCUGAUUUAACGACGUUUCUUCUGAGUGGUACAAGCAAAUAAUCAAAACUUUUAACAACGGAUCUCUUGGUUCUGGCAUCGAUGAAGAACGCAGCGAAAUGCGAUAAGUAAUGUGAAUUGCAGAAUUCAGUGAAUCAUCGAAUCUUUGAACGCACAUUGCGCCCGCCAGCAUUCUGGCGGGCAUGCCUGUUCGAGCGUCAUUUCAACCCUCAAGCUCUGCUUGGUGUUGGGGCCCUACAGCUGAUGUAGGCCCUCAAAGGUAGUGGCGGACCCUCCCGGAGCCUCCUUUGCGUAGUAACUUUACGUCUCGCACUGGGAUCCGGAGGGACUCUUGCCGUAAAACCCCCCAAUUUUCCAAAGGUUGACCUCGGAUCAGGUAGGAAUACCCGCUGAACUUAAGCAUAUCAAUAAGCGGGAGGAA